RNAcentral lists this ribosomal RNA (657 nucleotides) under Evarcha sp. B MRB238. Its description in RNAcentral is "eukaryotic LSU rRNA". It matches the Rfam family "Eukaryotic large subunit ribosomal RNA", at positions 83 to 492 of the family's 3401-position model. The record is from RNAcentral. Lineage: Eukaryota; Metazoa; Arthropoda; Arachnida; Araneae; Salticidae.
GUACGGCGAGCGAAAAGGGAGGAGCCCAGCGCCGAAUCCCCGACCUUCGGUCGUGGGAGAUGUGGUGUUUAGGAGUGAGCGUGCCGAGUUCGACGGCUGCGGCAAGUCCCCCUGACCGGGGCCUGUCCGUAGCGGGUGCGAGGCCCAUAGCCGCCGCUUUCGUCUCGGAUGCGAUCUCCUUGGAGUCGGGUUGCUUGGGAGUGCAGCCCUAAUCGGGUGGUAAACUCCACCUAAGGCUAAAUACCGCCGUGAGACCGAUAGCAAACAAGUACCGUGAGGGAAAGUUGCAAAGAACUUUGAAGAGAGAGUUCAAGAGUACGUGAAACUGCUCAGAGGUAAACGGGUGGGCCCUCGAAAUCCUGUGGCGAGAGGAUUCAGUCUGGCUCGGCGGACCUGCGGUUGGAAAACUCGGGUAGGGCUUCCCGUGACUGGGGCCGUCCUGCCGCGGGGCUUCCGUYGUUCCAGACGCAUUUGUCUCUCGUCCGAAGGACGCUGCAGCCGGUUUGGAAGUGCAAGCGCGGCGGCCUGAAGGUCGGGUAAUGGCAGGUGGCCGGCGGCCCGCCUUGUGUGGGUUGUCGGUUGUUAGCCGUCCCGUCAGUGGCUCGUCUCCAGACCGAGGUGUCGCGAGUCCCGUCAGGGACUCUUCGUCUCCACCCC